GAUGAACGCUGGCGGCGUGCCUAAUACAUGCAAGUCGAGCGAACAGAUGAGGAGCUUGCUCCUCUGACGUUAGCGGCGGACGGGUGAGUAACACGUGGAUAACCUACCUAUAAGACUGGGAUAACUUCGGGAAACCGGAGCUAAUACCGGAUAAUAUAUUGAACCGCAUGGUUCAAUAGUGAAAGACGGUUUUGCUGUCACUUAUAGAUGGAUCCGCGCCGCAUUAGCUAGUUGGUAAGGUAACGGCUUACCAAGGCGACGAUGCGUAGCCGACCUGAGAGGGUGAUCGGCCACACUGGAACUGAGACACGGUCCAGACUCCUACGGGAGGCAGCAGUAGGGAAUCUUCCGCAAUGGGCGAAAGCCUGACGGAGCAACGCCGCGUGAGUGAUGAAGGUCUUCGGAUCGUAAAACUCUGUUAUUAGGGAAGAACAAAUGUGUAAGUAACUACGCACGUCUUGACGGUACCUAAUCAGAAAGCCACGGCUAACUACGUG
RNAcentral lists this ribosomal RNA (497 nucleotides) under uncultured bacterium. Its description in RNAcentral is "partial 16S ribosomal RNA". It matches the Rfam family "Bacterial small subunit ribosomal RNA", at positions 28 to 507 of the family's 1533-position model. The record is from RNAcentral.